RNAcentral lists this long non-coding RNA (379 nucleotides) under Heterocephalus glaber (naked mole-rat). RNAcentral's name for it is "lncRNA (ENSHGLG00000040737.1)". The record is from RNAcentral. Lineage: Eukaryota; Metazoa; Chordata; Mammalia; Rodentia; Bathyergidae.
GGAAAACCGCAGGGUCCUCCUCCACCUGGAGGCCCACAGAAUCGCCCUCCUCGCUCCUUAAAUAAGCAAGGUCCACCCCCACCAGGGCCAAAGCAGCCCAAUGGUCCUCCUCCUCCUCCUCCUCCUCCUCCUCCCCCACCUGGAAAACCACAGGGUCCUCCUCCACCUGGAGGCCCACAGAACCGCCCCCCUCGUUCUUUAUAUAAGCAAGGUCCACCCCCACCAGGAGGCCCACAGCAGCCCAAUCGUCCUCCUCGUCCUGGAAACCAGCAAGGUCCACCCCAGUAAGAAGAGUGAAUGAGAAGGUGACGUCCUUCAGAACAAGACCCCAUUGGAAGAAUGCAGUCAUAACGGCAUCAUCAAUAGUCUAAUAAAAUAA